Molecule: long non-coding RNA, 1376 nt
Organism: Myotis lucifugus (little brown bat)
Lineage: Eukaryota; Metazoa; Chordata; Mammalia; Chiroptera; Vespertilionidae
Exons: 3
Source: RefSeq, a predicted model, not a curated record
UCUGCCAGGACCGGCUCCUGGGAGGGGGCGGGGCCAACAUGGCGCCGAGCGCCGGCUGAGCGGCGCUUUGGCGGCGGUGCGAGCUCUUCGUUCCUGAGACGCUCGACUGGCGGGAGGGGGUCGAGGGGUACCCCGGCCUCGACCCCUUGUCGGGCCUGUGCGGGGACCUGGAAGAGGACGUGUCUCGGGCAACAGUCUGCUGACUUAGAACACAGCAGUGAACACAAUAGACAGAGAUCUCUGUCCAUACGGCGCGGGAGGAGGAGAAUCACUCUGGCAGCUGUGUUGGGAGUAGAAGUCAAGAGCAAGGUGAAAGCCGGAAGAGCUUCUCCGGGGGCUGUUGAAGUUACCCAGGUGAUAGAUGACGGGCACCUGCAGUGGCAAUGGAGGAAUCUGGUUGGAUCACCUAGUGCAGUGGUCGGCAAACUGCGGCUCUCGAGCCACAUGCGUCUCUUUAGCCCCUUGAGUGUGGCUCUUCCUAAGCCUUAGGAGUACCCUAAUUAAGUUAAUAACAAUGUACCUACCUAUAUAGUUUAAGUUUAAAAAAUUUGGCUCUCAAAAGAAAUUUCAAUCGUCGUACUGUUGCUAUUUGGCUCUGUUGACUAAUGAGUUUGCCGACCACUGGUCUAGGACAUUCUAACAUUAAGCAGGUGAGGAGGAAGAACCAGAAAAGGAAACUGAGGGGUAAUGGCCAGUGAGGUAGGAGGAAAACCAGAAGUUGGUGCCACAGUGGAGUAAAAAAGCAGUUUUCAGAAAGUAGUAGUCAGCUAUGCUAUGUACUGCUUUGAGGUGAAAGAAGAUGAGGGAGGACAGAGUGGGCCUUGGAUUUGGCAAUGUGAAGUCAUCCAUGACCUUGAGAGUUUCAGGGACCUAGAGGGACAAAAGCCUGAUUGGAGUAGGUUCAAGAGAGGAGAGGAGAAUUAGAAACAAAGUUAAGACAACUUUUUGAGGGAGUUUUAUUGCAAGGAGGAGAAAAAAUGGGGCAUAUCAUAUAGAGAAAGUGAAAUAAAAGAUUUGCUUUAAUGUUUAAUUUGGUAAAAUACACAUAAAGCCCGCCAUCUUAACGAUUUUUAAGUGUAGUUUAGUGGCAUUAAAUACAUUCACAUUGUGUAACCGUCACGACAAUCCGUUUCCAGAACACUUCACAUUAUAAAACUGAAAUUCUGUCCCUAUUAAACAAUAACUUCCCAUUCCCCCUCCUCCGGCCCCUAGCAACCACCGUUCCACUUUCUGCCUCUGAGUUUGACUACUUAAGACCCUCACACAGGUGGAAUCAUACCAUAUUUGUCCUUUUGUGACUGGCUUAUUUCAGUCAGCAUAAUGUCCUCAGGGUUCAUUCAUGUAGCAUGUGUCAGAAUUUCCUUCUUUUUAAGGCU